UACGUAGGGUGCAAGCGUUGUCCGGAAUUAUUGGGCGUAAAGAGCUCGUAGGCGGUCUGUUGCGUCGGCUGUGAAAACCCGAGGCUCAACCUCGGGCCUGCAGCCGAUACGGGCAGACUAGAGUUCGGCAGGGGAGACUGGAAUUCCUGGUGUAGCGGUGAAAUGCGCAGAUAUCAGGAGGAACACCAAUGGCGAAGGCAGCACUCUGGGACGUGACUGACGCUGAGACGCGAAAGCGUGGGGAGCAAACAGG
RNAcentral lists this ribosomal RNA (253 nucleotides) under uncultured bacterium. RNAcentral describes it as "partial 16S ribosomal RNA". It matches the Rfam family "Bacterial small subunit ribosomal RNA", at positions 524 to 776 of the family's 1533-position model. The record is from RNAcentral.